Molecule: transfer RNA, 88 nt
Filed under: Candidatus Latescibacterota bacterium
Lineage: Bacteria; Pseudomonadati; Candidatus Latescibacterota
Description: tRNA-Leu
Rfam family: tRNA
About the family: Transfer RNA (tRNA) molecules are approximately 80 nucleotides in length. Their secondary structure includes four short double-helical elements and three loops (D, anti-codon, and T loops). Further hydrogen bonds mediate the characteristic L-shaped molecular structure. tRNAs have two regions of fundamental functional importance: the anti-codon, which is responsible for specific mRNA codon recognition, and the 3' end, to which the tRNAs corresponding amino acid is attached (by aminoacyl-tRNA synthetases). tRNAs cope with the degeneracy of the genetic code in two manners: having more than one tRNA (with a specific anti-codon) for a particular amino acid; and 'wobble' base-pairing, i.e. permitting non-standard base-pairing at the 3rd anti-codon position.
Source: RNAcentral
GCCGAAGUGGUGGAAUUGGUAGACGCGCUGGACUCAAAAUCCAGUGGGCUUAACGCCCGUGAGGGUUCGAGUCCCUCCUUCGGCACCA